GAGAAACCAAGGAAGAACAAGCCCUAGGUGAAAAAUCAAAGAGAAAGUGUUGGAAUUCAAGGAAACAAGCUAGGUAAGUUCAAAUUUCUUUAAUUCUCCUUGAUACCUAGCUUACCCAUGCUUUUGUUCUUGAUUUCCAUGGUUGAAUAUUGAGUUAUCAUGAUGAAUUCAAUUCUGAAAAAUGGGUAUGGAAGAGGAAUUGUUGUUGGAAUAAUUUGAUUUUAGACUAUGUUAGUGUUUAAGGAUAGUUAAGCAUGGUUAUGAACAAAAACACAAAAGAAAUAUUCAAUUUCUCUAGGGUUCCUUGUUGUUCGAACCAUGAGGGCUGAAUAUCAAUGGGGGAUUGUUUUUCUUUCAAGGAAAAUGGCUUGAAAAUAUGAUGAAUUAAAGUGAAACGGUUAUGUAGAAAAAUUUCGGUGCUAGUGCACCAAAUGAUCGAAUUUUUCUAUAAGGAACUGUGAGGGUUCUAAUGCUGAAUUUGGCUUUAUUUAAAUGGUAUGUGGUAAAUUAAGGUAUUAGAGGAGAAAUGGAUUAAUUUGGAGUGAAAUUGGAUGCAUUGGCCAAUUUAUCAAAUGAAAAAUCGACUUAGGCCACUACCGAAUCUAGAUGGCUACCCGUGCAUUUUUCAUUUCAUAUCAUAUAUAUAUCGAGCCUGAAAUAGCUUAUGACUGUUAGACACAAUUUAAUUGGAAUAUGUGUCAUGGAUUAUGGCUAGGUGGUGAGCCAUUGCAUACGGGUAAAGGACUGUACCCGCAGACUAAAAAUAGGAGUAUUUCUACUCCUAAUACCGGUGAGUGGACUUGCAUUUCAAACUUAUUUUGGGGAAUAUGAAAGAUUCUAUCCAACUUGCCUUAGAAAAUGUACCUUGGGAACAAGCUUUUAGUAAAAUGAUUUAUAUUGUGAAAAUGUGCUAUACAAUAGUUUAUGUGUUAUCACAAUAUGAUAAAAUGCAUGAUAUGCAUUGGAUGCUUCUUUACAUGUUGAUUUGAACCCGGCUAUGUGCGAGUAGGAGUGCACAUAAGCUGUUGCUGACCCGGCUAUGUGUGAGUGGGAGUGCACAUAAGCCGUUGUUGCCUCCGUAGCGAAAGGGGGGAUGCUCC
RNAcentral lists this long non-coding RNA (1100 nucleotides) under Theobroma cacao (cacao). RNAcentral describes it as "long non-coding RNA (TCAC_LNC006060)". The record is from RNAcentral. Lineage: Eukaryota; Viridiplantae; Streptophyta; Magnoliopsida; Malvales; Malvaceae.